GAAUAAUAUAUCAUUGAAAAUUGAAAUGGUGGUUGACAUUAUACACAGUUUUGUAUUGAGUGUGCUGGGUAGAUAGUUUUGAAAUGUUCAAUUCAAAACCCCCUCCCCACCCCCCACCUCCCCCGGGUGCCAUUUUGUUUGAUGUGGUUGGUAUGGUUGGAGCGUAAUAGGUGAACGUUUCAAGAAGUUUAGCAUAGUGUUUCUUGGCUUGAGAGUCGUUUACUAAUAGUUUUGUAUAGUUGGUUAGAGAGGAUGGUUGAUCCGGAUAUGUUUGCUUUUUUAAAUUUUUUUGGAUGGAGUUAUUGGUUAGGAGUUGAUUGUUCUUCGAUUUGGGUUUUUGUAUUCUUUGCAUCACCUUGAUGUUUUUUUAAUAAAGUUGGUUUAUUUAUUUAUCAAAAAAAAAUAUUUAUAUUUAACUCUUAGCUUAAAAUGUAUGGUCGGUCAAAGACUUUAAAAGUUUAUUAGAAAGAAAAAUAUAUGUAACACCUUGCUUAAAAUCUGUGGUAGGUCAAAGACCUAAAUACUCAUAUAUCAUCCUUUAUGUUGUUUAUUGGAUAUAUGAUUAUGAGUUCUCACAGGUAAUGGGUAUCCUUCUAGAAAUUACCACCUGAGAAGUUAUGAUGUUUGAAGCAAUAAAAAUUGCUAGGUAUUUAGUACUUAAAACCAAAUGUUUUGCAGGCUUCCUGUGGUAUCAAUAUUCUGCUUAUUUGAUUUCCUUUGCAUAGAUUUCUAGUUUUGGGUGUCUGUAUCAUACACGCCCAACUACAUUACCAAAGCGCUACUAUGGCAAUAACACACAUAGAGUUAUAGACAAGUCCAUGCACAUCUCACUUUAGUCUUUUUAGUGUCUGUGUUGUCUAAUGGCAUUUGGCAAGCACCUGCCCACUGAGAUCUGUUUCCAGUAGUAGUUGUUUGGCAAGGAAGGGUGGCACCUAGGCAGCUGCAUAGGCAAUCCUUCACUACAGCAAUGCUAAAAAAAUCAUGUUUCUGUUUGUGUAACAAAGGUUACAGAUUUAACUUCCAUAAUCUUGACUUUGUCUCUUUUUUCUUGAUUUUAGACCCUUCUGCAAGUGCUGAUCUGGCUGUGGUCUUAAUGCAAGAGGGAUUGGCACAUUUAUUCCUUAUUGGUAAAAGUGUUACAAUUACUCGUUCUCGAAUAGAAGCUUCAAUUCCUCGCAAGCAUGGGCCUGCUAUUGCUGGUUACGAUAAAGCUUUGAAUAAGUUCUUUGACAAUGUUUUAACGGCUUUCCUGAAACACAUUGACUUCAACGUUGUUCGUUGUGCUGUGAUCGCAAGUCCAGGUUUCACAAGGGAUCAGUUUCAUCGUCACUUAUUGUUGGAGGCCGAGAGGAAACAGCUGAGACCUAUUAUUGAGAACAAGUCACGCAUAAUUCUUGUGCAUACAACCUCGGGAUACAAGCAUAGCUUGAGAGAGGUUUUGGAUGCUCCAAAUGUCAUGAAUAUUAUAAAAGAUACAAAAGCAGCAGAAGAGGUUCGAGCUCUUAAGGAGUUUUUCAACAUGCUUUCUAAUGUCAGGAUCCAGAUCGUGCAUGUUAUGGACCAAAGCAUGUUGAGGUUGCCCAUGAAAGAAUGGCUGUCCAAACCCUUCUUGUCACUGAUGAACUCUUCAGGAGUUGCGACAUAGCGACAAGGCAAAAAUAUGUUAAUUUGGUCAAAUCAGUCAAGGAUUCGGGGGGCACUGCUCUCAUAUUCUCGUCCAUGCAUGUCUCUGGAGAACAACUGGCGCAGCUGACCGGUAUUGCAGCAAUCCUCCGAUUUCCUUUACCGGACUUGGAAGACAUUGAGAUGUGAUAAAAGAUUUUGGGGGUAUGGAGCUAAUUACUCAUUUUUGCUCCAUCAUGUUUGUAUAUCUUAGUAUUUUUAUUUUUAUUUUUUAUAUUUAAAACAAAAUUAUGUAAGUGACGUAUUUUUUCUAAAUCUGGCAGCUCAGGGCUAGUUAACAUAUUUUUUAUUUGUUUAUUUUUAUUAUCAUAAUUGUUAUUUUUUUUGACGCUGAAAAUUCCAACCGUAGCAUCAAAGCCCUAGCCACCGGUGAACUCUGUUGAUUUAGUUAACAGUUAUAUCUAAUAGAAUCAGUGUAAAACUAUUAUCAUUCCUGAUUUAAAUUA
Camellia sinensis is the source of this 2129-nucleotide non-coding RNA. The record is from RefSeq and is a predicted model, not a curated record. Lineage: Eukaryota; Viridiplantae; Streptophyta; Magnoliopsida; Ericales; Theaceae.